RNAcentral lists this ribosomal RNA (424 nucleotides) under uncultured prokaryote. RNAcentral's name for it is "bacterial SSU rRNA". It matches the Rfam family "Bacterial small subunit ribosomal RNA", at positions 355 to 796 of the family's 1533-position model. The record is from RNAcentral.
UGGGGAAUAUUGGACAAUGGGCGCAAGCCUGAUCCAGCCAUGCCGCGUGGGUGAAGAAGGCCCUAGGGUUGUAAACCCCUUUCAGCGGGGAAGAUAAUGACGGUACCCGCAGAAGAAGCCCCGGCUAACUCCGUGCCAGCAGCCGCGGUAAUACGGAGGGGGCUAGCGUUGUUCGGAAUUACUGGGCGUAAAGGGCGCGUAGGCGGUCUGUUGCGUCAGGUGUGAAAGCCCCGGGCUCAACCUGGGAGGUGCACUUGAUACGGGCAGGCUAGAAUCCGGGAGAGGAUGGUGGAAUUCCCAGUGUAGAGGUGAAAUUCGUAGAUAUUGGGAAGAACACCGAUGGCGAAGGCAGCCAUCUGGACCGGUAUUGACGCUGAGGCGCGAAAGCGUGGGGAGCAAACAGGAUUAGAUACCCCGGUAGUCC